Molecule: long non-coding RNA, 720 nt
Filed under: Marmota monax (woodchuck)
Lineage: Eukaryota; Metazoa; Chordata; Mammalia; Rodentia; Sciuridae
Source: RNAcentral
AAAUAUAUUAUGGAUAUAUAUAUAGAGAUAUAUAGAUAUAAAAUACAUAAAAAUGUUAAAGUAGGAAAACAGAUGAUAAAGUCUAACAUUUUCCCCUUAAAAAGUUGAAAACUGAGGUUCACAGGGUAGGAGCCUCAUAACACACAAAUGCUGCUAACAUCUUCACAUCCCAUCUCUGAUUCUGGAGAAAUUCAACCAGGGACUGGCACCUGUGAUGUCUUGUCUUCAAUCAUUUAUUUUUACUCUCUUGAUUUUGAGCCUAGCUUUCAUCUACCUUCUCUCAGAGCCUGAUAGAAGCCCGGGUCAAGUAUGGGUUUUGGGUUGUUUUGUUUGUUUUGGUGGUAAGGAUUGAACUCAAGUCUUGCACAUGCUAGGCAAGUGCUUUACCAUUGAGCCAUAUUCCCAGCCCCAAGAAUGGGUUUUGAGAAUCUAUCUACACUGACUAGUAAAUACCAGUGCUAAAAAUAGGGUUACAAAUUGUGGUAGUGGUUACAUUUUGGUUUACAGUUUUGUUAACAUAAAAUAAAAGCAACAUAUGUGUUUAUAUACAAAUUUAUUAGAGAUUGAUCUAUUAAACAUAUUAAUAUUUUAAAAAAUAUUAAUUGCUAACACAUUGCAGGUGCUAGUUCCAGUAGUGGAACACAAACAAGUUUGUUUGCUUGUUUUGUUUUGUUUUGUUUUUGCUACUGGGAGUGCUUUACCUCUGAGCUAUAGCUCCAG